This 370-nucleotide ribosomal RNA is filed under the name uncultured organism. Its description in RNAcentral is "partial 16S ribosomal RNA". It matches the Rfam family "Bacterial small subunit ribosomal RNA", at positions 527 to 896 of the family's 1533-position model. The record is from RNAcentral.
GUAGGGUCCAAGCGUUAAUCGGAAUUACUGGGCGUAAAGCGUGCGCAGGCGGUUGUGCAAGACCGAUGUGAAAUCCCCGGGCUUAACCUGGGAAUUGCAUUGGUGACUGCACGGCUAGAGUGUGUCAGAGGGGGGUAGAAUUCCACGUGUAGCAGUGAAAUGCGUAGAGAUGUGGAGGAAUACCGAUGGCGAAGGCAGCCCCCUGGGAUAACACUGACGCUCAUGCACGAAAGCGUGGGGGGAGCAAACAGGAUUAGAUACCCUGGUAGUCCACGCCCUAAACGAUGUCAACUAGUCGUUGGGGAUUCAUUUCCUUAGUAACGUAGCUAACGCGUGAAGUUGACCGCCUGGGGAUACGGUCGCAAGAUUA